AAAAAUUCCGUGUUUUCCAUCGGCAAAAAAAAAAAACCCGAGUGUCUCUCUCCCGCGAAGGCGAUCGAUUGACGCUGGAUUAAUGGUUUUCGAUGAGUCGACGCCGUCUCCCCAAAAUUUCUCACUUCCCCUCAUUUCGCUUCGAAGUCAAAAGCCCUAAUUCGAAAAUCCCCUAUUCUUAAGGAUGAAGCAGGAGAUGAGAUCAAGGAGGCAGAACCAAAGGUCUUGUGCAAGUGUCAUUCUUGUUUCACUGUCUUGUCCAAACCAAAGCAUAGUUAAUUCACAUUCUUGUACUCUUUGAUUAAUAAACGAGUAAAAGAAAACAUGUGCAACCAAGAGUUGUUUCUUUUUGUGAAUAUGUAUUGUAAAACCAUGUAUUGUUUUUACCAAAAAAAAAACCAUGUAUUGUUUUACAAAAUUUGAAUUUUUUCUUAGAGAACCCCAUUAGUAGU
Arabidopsis lyrata subsp. lyrata is the source of this 452-nucleotide long non-coding RNA. RefSeq lists it as uncharacterized. Lineage: Eukaryota; Viridiplantae; Streptophyta; Magnoliopsida; Brassicales; Brassicaceae. The record is from RefSeq and is a predicted model, not a curated record. The transcript has 2 exons.